GUAGCUCGGGCGCGGCCGGCCCGCGCGGGGACAGUCGGGCCUGGGGGCGGGACCCCCACGACCUUGUGUCGCGUUGUCAAGGGCGACGGCCGUUCGCGCGGGGCCGCCCGGGCAAUAGCCCGCAACUGGGCCUCCGUAUGUGCGUCCCAGAAACCGGGUGCAGAUAUUCGCACCCUCCGCGAACAGCGUGAAAAAGCGGCUCCGCGGCAGAAGCAGCUAACAUCUUCGGGGUCUUUGUCCCCGGCCUCUGGUCCAGACUGCUGGAAGUCAGUCUCUUCCAACCAAGUCAGGCCAGAUAGCUAAAAAGUGUGAAAAAGGAGAAUUUCGGGCUUGGCUUGCUUACACCAAAACUCUGGAGCCAAGGCCCACCAGCAAAACUGGGCUUAUGCAUUCAUUCCAAUUCUCUUGCCCUCCUGGAGGUGAAUUUGGUUGCGGAUUCGGACCGUCAACGUCACAGAGCUCCAAGCCACGUAAAACGCAGAUUUCUCUGGCAACGCCUGAAGUGGGGCUCAGGCGGCCCCCUGAUGACUGAGGUACACUGAAGACUGGCUGCCACAAACGAGUGGUAAAUAACUGCACAGAAACGAGUUGAGAUUGUGACAGGAUCUGCAAAGGACAGGAGCUGGGAGAGUGUCCUCCAGUGGGGCCUGGACGUAGCUGAGGCCGCGCGGGAGGGGAUGUGACGGGGAAUACUUAACACGAGGAAGGUGUCAAGCAUGAUUGCCAAGUUCCAGGCUUAAGCAGCUGAGAAGGGGAAUCUUGAAGAGACACACAGCUAGUCCCAGACAUAGGGUUCCCAGGAAGUCACUGAACGGAGGGGUCUCAGCCUCACAUUUCAUGUGUUGUUCACUCCACUCAGGCAACCAUCUCUGUAAGAAUCAAGAUGCUAGCAAGAUCCCGGAUAAUUUAUCUGCACGCACGUUAAGCUUGAGAUGGAAGCACUGUCCCUCGGGACACACGGCACUAGAGGAUCGCGUGUUUCCUCAACAGUGGAACGGCCUGCGAUCCUCGACCUGACGGAGAGACCAGCUGGACCCAUCUUUGAACCUUGCCUCACUUGUCGCUGCUCAGGAGCCAAUCAAUAAACAUUUCCUGAGUGGACAGACCCGGUGCUUCUCUGAACAUCAGCUGGAGGCAGCAGGCGUGCUCAUUCCCAGGGGAAAGGGUCUGCGGCUCGAUGCCACCCACUGCCCGCUUCCCACAUGAGGACCCCUCCUCCUCGCCCAGGAAACCACAGCUCAGAACUCAAGUAUCUGGAGGGCGGGGAACAGUGAGAAGCAGCCCCCCAGGAACCCGAUAGUCCCCUGUGCUCUCGAGGGUGGAGACCUGACUGUCACGGGUGAUCCCGUUUCUGGUGGCUGAGCUCCUGUCAGCUCUGAGUGCCUCCUGAGUGGCCCCCUGGGCCCCCCUGCUCUUUUCUCUACAUCUCUUGGCUUUGGGAGCACAGCUGCGGUGCUGGCAUCUGAUCCCCAGGACUCUCCCUCUCCGUGCAGUGGCAUGAGGCAGCCCUCUUCUGUGGCCUUACCCCUAGUCUUCUGUGGCCCCAACCCUGUGCCCAGGUGUGAGGGGAGCCUGCAUGGGCUCAGAAAGGACCCCACAGGCCCCUUGCCAUCUUUUCCGGGAGUAUCCUCUCUCUGGACAGUUUCCUGAAUGACUUGUGGGACGCAGGGCCCUCACCUCACUUGCAACAUUCCCUAAAUAUGACCACCUUCCUCGAGGACCCUUUAUUGGAUCCAUAUCAUCAAUCUGCUUAUAUAUCACCACUAUAAAAAGUUUACAAGCCAUGGGGACCCAUGAUCAGACAUUAAACCCCUUUCCACACCUAAGCGCUCUCUAGGCAUCAGGUGGGAGGUGGGUCAGGGGUCAUCUACACCGGGAGCUGGAAGCUGUGGCUACUCUCAUUGACUGACACUGUCAUCCUUUCUUCUCUGGUGCCAAAGUAGCCACAUGGUCCUUUGUGAGGACCUGUGACCACCUACCACUGUCAGUGAUGCUCAAGAGGCUAUGCUGUACCACAGUGUCCGUCUCGCCAGGGUACCCCAGAGCUCACAGCGAACCUGUGGAAUAGAAGCCGUGCGGGGCGGAGGUGGGGGAGGGGAUGGUCAUAGGACUAUUCUCAAGGCUGGAGGAAAAGCUCCUUUCCAGCACAAGGCGCGAGUCUGACUGGGGCCCACGUCCGCCCUGGGUGCUCAUGAAUUCAGGCCAGAUGCUGCCUCUGUUCUCCCACCUUACAGAGGGGUGGACACACAUCUGAACAGCACUUGUUACCUAGUGUUGCUACUUUUCACAAGGCUGGGAAGGCAGAGGGGCUUGCUC
Molecule: long non-coding RNA, 2316 nt
Organism: Bos taurus (domestic cattle)
Lineage: Eukaryota; Metazoa; Chordata; Mammalia; Artiodactyla; Bovidae
Source: Ensembl